UUCCGUAGGUGAACCUGCGGAGGGAUCAUUACCGAGUUUACAACUCCCAAACCCAAUGUGAACGUUACCAAACUGUUGCCUCGGCGGGAUCUCUGCCCCGGGUGCGUCGCAGCCCCGGACCAAGGCGCCCGCCGGAGGACCAACCAAAACUCUUAUUGUAUACCCCCUCGCGGGUUUUUUUAUAAUCUGAGCCUUCUCGGCGCCUCUCGUAGGCGUUUCGAAAAUGAAUCAAAACUUUCAACAACGGAUCUCUUGGUUCUGGCAUCGAUGAAGAACGCAGCGAAAUGCGAUAAGUAAUGUGAAUUGCAGAAUUCAGUGAAUCAUCGAAUCUUUGAACGCACAUUGCGCCCGCCAGUAUUCUGGCGGGCAUGCCUGUCCGAGCGUCAUUUCAACCCUCGAACCCCUCCGGGGGGUCGGCGUUGGGGAUCGGCCCUGCCUUGGCGGUGGCCGUCUCCGAAAUACAGUGGCGGUCUCGCCGCAGCCUCUCCUGCGCAGUAGUUUGCACACUCGCAUCGGGAGCGCGGCGCGUCCACAGCCGUUAAACACCCAACUUCUGAAAUGUUGACCUCGGAUCAGGUAGGAAUACCCGCUGAACUUAAGCAUAUCAAUAAGCCGGAGGAA
RNAcentral lists this ribosomal RNA (621 nucleotides) under Trichoderma harzianum. RNAcentral describes it as "eukaryotic LSU rRNA". The stretch from base 233 to 386 matches the Rfam family "5.8S ribosomal RNA". The record is from RNAcentral. Lineage: Eukaryota; Fungi; Ascomycota; Sordariomycetes; Hypocreales; Hypocreaceae.